RNAcentral lists this long non-coding RNA (531 nucleotides) under Rattus norvegicus (Norway rat). Its description in RNAcentral is "long non-coding RNA NONRATT032788". Lineage: Eukaryota; Metazoa; Chordata; Mammalia; Rodentia; Muridae. The record is from RNAcentral.
CAUGGUGACUCGGAACCGUUUAACUCCAGUUUCAAGGGAUCCCGCGCCCUCUGCUGGUCUCCACUGGUACUGCAUACACACAGCUCACAGACACAUGCUGGCAGCGUGCUCAAACAUGUAAGAUAGCGUGAAUUUUAAGGAGGUGAGAGAGCCUCAGGCUAUGACAGGAAGGAACAAAGCAGCAGGGCUCUGAGGAGAUCAAGAAGUCUAUUGACAUCAUCAUCUUUGAUCGGCUUGGAGAAGUAUUUGGGUUGGGGACCUAUGCAGAGGCUUCCGGGUGAGAACGGUGUUCCCCUAAAUUCAAAGGCUGCAAUAGUGUUAAAAGCCUCUACACCCAGGAAUCUCAGCUUUCACAAGAGGGUGCUGGCCCCAAACCAGAAAACAUCCAUGAGAGACUUCAAACGGACAACUUUAGGUCAGAAUAACCAUUGUAUUGCGUCUUCCCGGGACAGAGAUGCAAUGCCAAGGGACCGCCAGAAAAAUACAGUGUUCAUUCGGCUGCUAUUUUGCUUCCAUUUGUUCUGUCUGUAA